UGGGGAAUAUUGGACAAUGGGCGGAAGCCUGAUCCAGCCAUGCCGCGCGUGUGAAGAAGGCCUUUUGGUUGUAAAGCACUUUAAGCGAGGAGGAGGCUACUUGGAUUAAUACUUUAGGAUAGUGGACGUUACUCGCAGAAUAAGCACCGGCUAACUCUGUGCCAGCAGCCGCGGUAAUACAGAGGGUUCGAGCGUUAAUCGGAUUUACUGGGCGUAAAGCGUGCGUAGGCGGCUUCUUAAGUCGGAUGUGAAAUCCCUUAGCUUAACUUAGGAAUUGCAUUCGAUACUGGGAAGCUAGAGUAUGGGGGAGGAUGGUAGAAUUCCAGGUGUAGCGGUGAAAUGCGUUGAGAUCUGGAGGAAUACCGAUGGCGAAGGCAGCCAUCUGGCCUAAUACUGACGCUGAGGUACGAAAGCAUGGGGAGCAAACAGG
This 430-nucleotide ribosomal RNA is filed under the name Acidobacteriota bacterium. RNAcentral describes it as "Acidobacteria bacterium partial 16S ribosomal RNA". It matches the Rfam family "Bacterial small subunit ribosomal RNA", at positions 355 to 776 of the family's 1533-position model. Lineage: Bacteria; Pseudomonadati; Acidobacteriota. The record is from RNAcentral.